Long non-coding RNA from Anarrhichthys ocellatus (wolf-eel), 605 nucleotides. RefSeq lists it as uncharacterized. Lineage: Eukaryota; Metazoa; Chordata; Actinopteri; Perciformes; Anarhichadidae. The record is from RefSeq and is a predicted model, not a curated record. The transcript is spliced from 4 exons.
CAGCAAAUCCCCUGGAGCAUCACUAUUACAAGGAGAAACUCAGUUUCUGUGAAGCUCGAGGCUAUUCCUGGACCCCCAGGAACCGCCGACCGGAGAAGCUCCGUGAUUCGCUGAAGGAGUUGGAGGAACUGUUGCAGACCAACACAUGCGUUCACAGCAGAUGGAGGAGCAAGCAUUGCUGCCAGGUGUUGCUGAGCAGUGGAGUCCUGGUGACCCUGAACCUAAAUGGACCUCAGCUCGAACAAGUGUAUGUGGACCGAACAUUAGUGGGUCGACUACCAGCCAACACUGUGGCUGAUGGUUAGUUACACACACAGACACACACACACACACACACACACGCACACACAGCUGUUGCACAACUAUCACCUCUGUUAUGUCAGUAAAGAAUGCUUUCUCCUGUAUUGUUUCUUAUUUUUUAACUUUAAUUUUUUUGAUAUGGCACACACUUUUUUAUAUUAUGGAAACAGACUCAAGUACUUUACUUAAAUCCAGUAAAAAUUAAGAAAUAAGUUAAUAAAUCUAAAAGCAAAGCAAAAAACACAUCUCCCGUAUUGUUGCGAUGUUUGCAUUCAGUUAUUGAAAUUAUGUGUGUGAUGUAAAUA